GUAGACGCCUUGCAAUUCAAGCAGACUCUAUUAUGCGGCUGCCGCGGACACUACGUGGUUUGUUGUGCUUCAGUCUGGUUGGAUUGUAGGCCUCCGCAAAACUUCAUGACCAUCGCAACUACUG
Molecule: microRNA precursor, 124 nt
Filed under: Physcomitrium patens
Lineage: Eukaryota; Viridiplantae; Streptophyta; Bryopsida; Funariales; Funariaceae
Description: Physcomitrella patens miR1024b stem-loop (ppt-MIR1024b)
Rfam family: MIR1024 microRNA precursor family (bases 1-99)
Source: miRBase by way of RNAcentral